UUUAACUGCAUUUUGCACGCUGUCCCUCGAGAAGAGAGAAAAAAAUUCCCUUUGUCAGAAGGCAUGUGUCAUCUUAUAUUAUGACCAGCAGGUUGCUAUUUCUGAAGCGCUGUGUAGACUGACGAUUAAAAAAUCAAGGGAUGAACUUGUCCAUAAAUGGUUUGAUGAUGAAGUCAUUGCUGAAGCUUUCAAAGAAAUUAAGGAUCGAGAAUUUGAGACGGACAGUAGACGUUUUCUCAAUCACCUAAACAACAGACUUGGUGACCAAAGAAGGGUGUAUUCAUUUCCGUGUAUUGCUGCUUUUGCUGAUGAGCAUGAGAUGAGAAAACCAGCGGAUGAAAAAUUAGAGAAAUUUUGGAUCGACUUCAACCUAGGAAGUCAGAGUGUCACUUUUUAUAUAGACAAUGCUGAGAAUACUCUAUGGGACUCAGUGACACUUCCGAAGGAAGCGGUGAUGAAUUUCAGCAUAACAG
Molecule: long non-coding RNA, 473 nt
Filed under: Homo sapiens (human)
Lineage: Eukaryota; Metazoa; Chordata; Mammalia; Primates; Hominidae
Description: HSALNT0101282
Source: RNAcentral